GACGAGCGGCGGACGGGUGAGUAAUGUCUGGGAAACUGCCUGAUGGAGGGGGAUAACUACUGGAAACGGUAGCUAAUACCGCAUAACGUCGCAAGACCAAAGUGGGGGACCUUCGGGCCUCAUGCCAUCAGAUGUGCCCAGAUGGGAUUAGCUGGUAGGUGGGGUAACGGCUCACCUAGGCGACGAUCCCUAGCUGGUCUGAGAGGAUGACCAGCCACACUGGAACUGAGACACGGUCCAGACUCCUACGGGAGGCAGCAGUGGGGAAUAUUGCACAAUGGGCGCAAGCCUGAUGCAGCCAUGCCGCGUGUGUGAAGAAGGCCUUCGGGUUGUAAAGCACUUUCAGCGGGGAGGAAGGCGGUGAGGUUAAUAACCUUAUCGAUUGACGUUACCCGCAGAAGAAGCACCGGCUAACUCCGUGCCAGCAGCCGCGGUAAUACGGAGGGUGCAAGCGUUAAUCGGAAUUACUGGGCGUAAAGCGCACGCAGGCGGUCUGUCAAGUCGGAUGUGAAAUCCCCGGGCUCAACCUGGGAACUGCAUUCGAAAACUGGCAGGCUAGAGUCUUG
RNAcentral lists this ribosomal RNA (566 nucleotides) under Klebsiella sp. Its description in RNAcentral is "bacterial SSU rRNA". It matches the Rfam family "Bacterial small subunit ribosomal RNA", at positions 90 to 651 of the family's 1533-position model. Lineage: Bacteria; Pseudomonadati; Pseudomonadota; Gammaproteobacteria; Enterobacterales; Enterobacteriaceae. The record is from RNAcentral.